GAUGAACGCUGGCGGCGUGCUUAACACAUGCAAGUCGAACGGCGACGAGGACUUCGGUCCUCUGAUCAGUGGCGGACGGGUGAGUAACGCGUGAGCAACCUGCCUUUCAAAGCGGGAUAACGACUGGAAACGGUCGCUAAUACCGCAUAACGUGUAUUGACCGCAUGAUUGAUACACCAAAAGGGUAACCUGAUGAAAGAUGGGUUCGCGUCUGAUUAGAUAGUUGGUGGGGUAACGCUCACCAAGUCGACGAUCAGUAGCCGGACUGAGAGGUCGAACGGCCACAUUGGAACUGAGAUACGGUCCAGACUCCUACGGGAGGCAGCAGUGGGGAAUAUUGGGCAAUGGGCGAAAGCCUGACCCAGCGACGCCGCGUGAAGG
This 381-nucleotide ribosomal RNA is filed under the name uncultured bacterium. Its description in RNAcentral is "bacterial SSU rRNA". It matches the Rfam family "Bacterial small subunit ribosomal RNA", at positions 28 to 407 of the family's 1533-position model. The record is from RNAcentral.